UCAAUUGCUUGCUUUCCAAGCAACUUUUAGAAUUUUAUUCCCCACCGUUUGGAUAAGCUUCAAGAUUUACGGGCCUAAUGCAAAUUAUUCAAACAGAACAAAAAUUCAGUAUAUAAUAGAAUAAGUUGAGAGGAUUAAACUUCUCAACUGACCCCACCAAGAUUGAUGACUAAAUCCUAAGGAAAAACAUAGAACAAAGGAUAUUUAGAGUAAAAAUGAACUUACUCUGUUUGAAAAUCUGAUUGGGUAGAAAUGUUCCUUAACUCCUCUGCUACAACGUGGUAUGAUCAGAUUCUAAAAUAGAUGAAGAUUGGAAGAGAAAUUAAGAGAGAGGGAGAGAAGAGAAUUGGAG
RNAcentral lists this long non-coding RNA (352 nucleotides) under Phaseolus vulgaris (common bean). Its description in RNAcentral is "long non-coding RNA (PVUL_LNC000379)". Lineage: Eukaryota; Viridiplantae; Streptophyta; Magnoliopsida; Fabales; Fabaceae. The record is from RNAcentral.